Molecule: long non-coding RNA, 1372 nt
Filed under: Androctonus crassicauda
Lineage: Eukaryota; Metazoa; Arthropoda; Arachnida; Scorpiones; Buthidae
Source: RNAcentral
ACUUUGAUGUUGAUCAUUAUCAAUAUUUAGAAUGCCUGAACUCUGUUUAUCUGAUGUUCUUGGCCCACUUGCCAAAAGACAUUGUUUGAAAGUGCAUUUCGCAGAAAAAGCAUAUCAUGAUGAAAGCAAAGAAACUCACCAUUGCAGAUAUUUCAAAAAUAUGUACAGCUGAUAUUGAUGAACAAAACUGGUUUAAUGUUAAAUAUAAAGUUAUUGCAAUUCUCUCCUAUUAUUGACAAACUGGUUAAACAAAAUUUUUUGGAACAUCUCCAUUUCUUAUAGCACAUGAUCAAGACAAGAACAAUGUCAAAUAUUCACUUUCUAAUUCACAAUCUCUUAACAGUGCCUCCUGCCUGCUUAACAAUAAUCAUGUGAUACAUAAAUUAUUUAAAUUAUGAUAAUCAUGAUUUAAGUGAUGAGGAGAAAAAUCAUGAUGGAGUAGAAGAAAGCAAAGAUGCCAAAUUGAUCAAAUUAAUGAUUAAAGCCAUCUUAAUUUAUAGAGAACUAAAAUAUUUCAUUAAUUAUGAAAACAGGGAUCUAAUUUGCAUAUUAAUAUCCCUCAUGGACUCCUGCAUAAUGCCUAAAUUUGGGUCAAAUUGGUAUUGGCAGUUUCCUUCCUUCCAUUUUCAGUGGCAAAGCUCCUUUCAAACUUUCUCUAUUCCUUCUGAAAUCACUUCAUGCAAGUUUUACUCUGAUGUUAAUUUCUUCCUUAAUAUUGCCAUUUAAUAAUAAUUAUUGUCUGAAAAAAAUGUAACUAUUGAAAAUUUCUAGUUCUGCUUCACUUAGUUUUAUUUUUUGUUGAUUUAUAAAAUCAUUAAACAUUACUAUUGUUUUUAAAAUUCAUGUUUAGUCCUAUAAUACUGCUUUAACAGAUAAGCUCAUUAAUUGUAUCUUAAAGUUCAUCUGCACUAAGUCAUCAGGAUAACAUCUGCAAGUCUCAACUGAUUCAAAUAUUGUCCAUUUAUUUUGAUGCCUUUGUGUUCCUAAUUCAUGUUUGAAAACAUUCUGCAGAACUAAGUUAAAUAAUUUUGUUGAGAUAGUAUCACUUUGUCUUGCCUUUUCUAUUUAUAAACUUUUUACUUAUUUUAUGUAGAUAUAUCUUUUGCUGUGGCUUCCUUGUAGAUGUUUUUGAUAAAUGCAUGAUAUCUUUGAUCUAAAUCAAUAUUUUUGAGAACUUUUAAAAUAGCAGUGUGUCUCACAAAAUCUAAAGCUUUCUCAUAGACAACAAAAGUUACACAUAGUAUAAAAUCAUAUUCUAGUUCUUUCAGUCAGUUCUCUCAUUAUAUGGAUAUGAUCAAUUUUAAACCCUGUUUGUUCUAUUGUUCAGUUUUAUCUAUGCACUUUUGUAAUAUUUGCCAAAUUUUUCAUCAGA